CAGGAUUCCAUGGUUCAGCACAUAUCCAGCCCAGAGGGCAAAGCCAGCCUCCUCUUUUGACAAGUACUUGUCAUGAAGAGGGAGAAACAACAUGGAGGAGGGGAAAAAUUUUGACACUCAUCUCCUGUGCCUGCAAUUCAUAACUCAAUCUUGUUCAAUUGCUCUCUCUUUUGAAUAGAGUCUGGCAAUAGGGUGAAAUAACCAAGAACUCUACUACACCCCCUCAGAAGAACCAGAGGUAUCAGCUACCAUAUUUGUCUGUAUAUCCAAUAUUCCAGCCUCAACACCUUUCCUUGAAAAUCUAGAGGUCAUCAAUAAAAUGAAAAGCCAUUUCAUUCUAUUGGUGAAAACAGAAGCUUUUCUGCAGCAUAUCAAGAGUCUGGCAAAGCUCUCAACUAGAUUAUACUAUAAAGAAUAUGAAUAGCCAACAAUUACGGAGUACUUAUUAGAAGUCAAGACUCUUCUGAGUAGUUUGCUUGGAUUAUCUCAUGCAAUCUCAAUAUUGGAUUUAGCCAAGGAAUAUCAUCUUGCUUGGUCAUCAGCAUGUAACUGAUGCAUCGAUACUUCUCAGCCAUAUUUAGAGCAGAAAUUUGAUACCUAAAGAAGCGAAGUAACUGAGAAGUCUCAGAUAACAAAUGAUAAAGCCAGAAUUUAAACUCGUGUGUUCCUGACAUCAAAACUCCUACUCUUCACUGCAAUGUUCGACUGCCUAUCAAGGAACUCUUUACCUCCACAAGUCAAUAUCCAUCACCUCAUAUAGAUUGCUGCCACAGCAUGGCUGACAAGUAGCGUAGGUCCCUGCCUGGGAUCCAAGCCUGACAACCCCGGCCACUGAAACAGAGUGCAUGGAACUUUAAACACUCGGCCACAGGGCCGGCCCCCAUGUUAUUUUUAUUAAUCUUCCAAAUGUCUUUUUAUUGCUAAUAAAGUGUCUCAAGAG
This 940-nucleotide long non-coding RNA is filed under the name Equus caballus (horse). Its description in RNAcentral is "lncRNA (ENSECAG00000037207.3)". Lineage: Eukaryota; Metazoa; Chordata; Mammalia; Perissodactyla; Equidae. The record is from RNAcentral.